UGGAUUUGAUUAAUGUGGUUAGUUAUGGGUAAAAUGCGCAAAUAUUUUAAAUAAGCAAGUGGUGAUAUAAUAUUCAUUAUUGUUGGAGAAUAUUCGUUUGGUCGUGGAAUAUUCGUACUGUCGGGGAAUAUUCGUACGACGGCGCAGCCAUGUGUGGGCCCCAUAACGGAAAGCGAUUGGAGGAAGAAAACGACAAAUAUAAGUUGUUUAAAAAUAACGGCGUAGUUGUUACCGUUUACACUGUUGGAAUACCCGGUGGUUAAAACACAGUAAUACGCGUUGUUGCACAGUAGCACACGGUAUUGCACCAAUUAUUGAUUCUUACGUAAGAAGGCACUACUCAAUAAUGGUUACAGUAAUUACUGUUCAGUAUUUUAUUUUAUUGAUUCAAUAAUUGCUGCGUUGAUAUUUUAUAUUGC
This 419-nucleotide long non-coding RNA is filed under the name Panax ginseng (ginseng). RNAcentral describes it as "long non-coding RNA (PGIN_LNC000140)". Lineage: Eukaryota; Viridiplantae; Streptophyta; Magnoliopsida; Apiales; Araliaceae. The record is from RNAcentral.